Molecule: ribosomal RNA, 497 nt
Filed under: uncultured bacterium
Lineage: Bacteria
Description: partial 16S ribosomal RNA
Rfam family: Bacterial small subunit ribosomal RNA
Source: RNAcentral
GAUGAACGCUGGCGGCGUGCCUAAUACAUGCAAGUCGAGCGAACGGACGAGAAGCUUGCUUCUCUGAUGUUAGCGGCGCACGGGUGAGUAACACGUGGAUAACCUACCUAUAAGACUGGGAUAACUUCGGGAAACCGGAGCUAAUACCGGAUAAUAUUUUGAACCGCAUGGUUCAAAAGUGAAAGACGGUCUUGCUGUCACUUAUAGAUGGAUCCGCGCUGCAUUAGCUAGUUGGUAAGGUAACGGCUUACCAAGGCAACGAUGCAUAGCCGACCUGAGAGGGUGAUCGGCCACACGGGAACGGAGACACGGUCCAGACUCCUACGGGAGGCAGCAGUAGGGAAUCUUCCGCAAUGGGCGAAAGCCUGACGGAGCAACGCCGCGUGAGUGAUGAAGGUCUUCGGAUCGUAAAACUCUGUUAUUAGGGAAGAACAUAUGUGUAAGUAACUGUGCACAUCUUGACGGUACCUAAUCAGAAAGCCACGGCUAACUACGUG